RNAcentral lists this ribosomal RNA (253 nucleotides) under uncultured bacterium. Its description in RNAcentral is "partial 16S ribosomal RNA". It matches the Rfam family "Bacterial small subunit ribosomal RNA", at positions 524 to 776 of the family's 1533-position model. The record is from RNAcentral.
UACAGAGGGUGCGAGCGUUGUUCGGAAUUAUUGGGCGUAAAGGGCGCGUAGGCGGUGCGGUAAGUCACCUGUGAAACCUCUGGGCUUAACUCAGAGCCUGCAGGCGAAACUACCGUGCUGGAGUGUGGGAGAGGUGCGUGGAAUUCCCGGUGUAGCGGUGAAAUGCGUAGAUAUCAGGAGGAACACCGGUGGCGAAGGCGGGUCUCUGGGCAGUAACUGACGCUGAGGAGCGAAAGCGUGGGGAGCGAACAGG